GCGAAAGUGGUGAAAUCGGUAAACACGCCGGACUUAGAAUCCGGUGGGCGCGUCCCUUAGGGGUUCGAGUCCCCUCUUUCGCACCA
Molecule: transfer RNA, 86 nt
Filed under: Candidatus Cloacimonadota bacterium
Lineage: Bacteria; Pseudomonadati; Candidatus Cloacimonadota
Description: Candidatus Cloacimonetes bacterium tRNA-Leu
Rfam family: tRNA
About the family: Transfer RNA (tRNA) molecules are approximately 80 nucleotides in length. Their secondary structure includes four short double-helical elements and three loops (D, anti-codon, and T loops).
Source: RNAcentral